UUCCAGACUCCUACGGGAGGCAGCAGUGGGGGAUAUUGCACAAUGGGGGGAACCCUGAUGCAGCGACGCCGCGUGGGUGAAGGAGUAUUUCGGUAUGUAAAGCCCUAUCGGCAGGGAAGAAUUUAGACGGUACCUGACUAAGAAGCCCCGGGUAACUACGGGCCAGCAGCCGCGGGAAUACGUAGGGGGCAAACGGUAUCCGGAUUCACUGGGUGUAAAGGGAGCGUAGACGGCCAGGCAAGCCUGGAGUGAAAGCCCGGGGCCCAACCCCGGGACUGCUCUGGGAACUGUCCGGCUGGAGUGCGGGAGGGGCAGGCGGAAUUCCUGGUGUAGCGGUGAAAUGCGUAGAUAUCAGGAGGAACACCGGCGGCGAAGGCGGCCUGCUGGACCGCGACUGACGUUGAGGCUCGAAAGCGUGGGGAGCGAACAGGAUUAGAUACCCCCGUA
RNAcentral lists this ribosomal RNA (447 nucleotides) under uncultured bacterium. RNAcentral's name for it is "bacterial SSU rRNA". It matches the Rfam family "Bacterial small subunit ribosomal RNA", at positions 329 to 792 of the family's 1533-position model. The record is from RNAcentral.